RNAcentral lists this long non-coding RNA (588 nucleotides) under Musa acuminata (dwarf banana). RNAcentral describes it as "long non-coding RNA (MACU_LNC003275)". Lineage: Eukaryota; Viridiplantae; Streptophyta; Magnoliopsida; Zingiberales; Musaceae. The record is from RNAcentral.
CUACAUAAGAGGUGGAGUAAAAUCCAGCGAGGAGUAACUACUCGGCGUCGGUUCAUUGCUUGUGGGAGAGAGUCAUCUCGCGCAGCUCGGCUGCGUCCACCUGCGCUCGGAGGUUGCUGGGCCUGUAGUACCCCGUCACCGGGUCCGGGACCCAAGAAUUCGACGAAGCAGAGGUGGAGGAGGAGGCGGCGGUGGUCGAGGAGUCUACCACCUUGCGCGCCACCGUUUUCUGCUCCACGGACCUUCUCACACCAGCCGCCGCCGCCGCUGCCGCAGCGUAUCCCCUCCUGGAUGAAUCGAACGGAGCAGGAGUAAGUAAUGGUCCAAUUAUAGAUUAUAGAUUAUAGAUAGAUGAUGAUGAUUGGUAUAUCAGUUACCGGUUAACCAAGAGGGCGAUGUUUUGAGAGACGGACGCAGCGAGAGCAGCAGCACUAGAGAGAGAGCGAGCCAUCUGCCCUCUUCGUUUUAUCACCUUAAUUUCUCUAGCUAGUAGAAAGAAAGAGAAGAGAUGGACGAACAGGAAGAGGUCCUUCUCUUCGUGUUGUUGUGCUCCUCUCUCUCUUUCUCUCUCUCUCCUUCUAUCCUCCC